This is a long non-coding RNA of Spodoptera frugiperda (fall armyworm), 776 nucleotides long. RefSeq lists it as uncharacterized. The record is from RefSeq and is a predicted model, not a curated record. Lineage: Eukaryota; Metazoa; Arthropoda; Insecta; Lepidoptera; Noctuidae. The transcript is spliced from 2 exons.
CCAACCGGACGUACAAGCUUAGCCCGCAAAAAUACGGCAAGUCAAAGAAAUAUAAGAGCAAAUCAAACUGAUGAGCAACGCGAAGCGCGAAAUGAACUUGAACUGAAUCGAUAUCAAGAUAGAAAUGUUGUGUUUAAUCCCCACAAAGCUGCAUUCAGUUAUAAUGUGGCAAUUGAUUACAGUUCAGAGCAAAUUGUUGCUAUUGGACUAAUGAACAUUGUGUGUCCACAUUGGGAUUGAAAUUAAAAAAUGAAGCCUCUGGAUUGUGUUGCGCCAGCGGCCAAGUCAAAUUGACGCCAUUGGUACCACCACCAGAGCCACUACAUUAAUUGGUUCAUUUUUUGACUCAUAUCCAGCAGUACAAUAAUUGCUUUCAAAUGACAUCAUUUGGGGCAACAAAAGUUAUACGAGACAAUUUUUUGCCUACUUUUAGCAAAUUCAGGGAUUCAAAUAUAUCAUCAAACAGGUUCCUUAUUGCCAGUGCCUGUUGAAGACUAUACAUUUUUGCAAAUAUAUUUUAUGGACAAUUCAGCAAGAGAAGUCGAUCAGCGUUGCGCACACAACAACUCAGUAAAGAGAUCCAUUGUGAUGAACAACUUCAAACAUUUUUCCUUCAACACAAUGAAUUAGUUGCAUUAGACCGAUGCAUUAGACAUUCACAAAUGCAUUAGACCGCAUGCCAUCAGAUAAUCACAAAAUUGUCAUCAGAGCCGAUAAGGCGCCUGCAGGACAGUGAAAUGAUUGAAUCCUAUGAAAUAAACACUAUUAUGAAAAUA